CGCUGGCGGCAGGCUUAACACAUGCAAGUCGAACGGUAACAGAGAAUAGCUUGCUAUUUUGCUGACGAGUGGCGGACGGGUGAGUAAUGCUUGGGAAUUUGCCUUGUUGCGGGGGACAACAGUUGGAAACGACUGCUAAUACCGCAUAAUGUCUCCGGACCAAAGGUGGCCUCUAUUUAUAUGCUAUCGCGACAAGAUGAGCCCAAGUGGGAUUAGCUAGUUGGUAAGGUAAUGGCUUACCAAGGCGUCGAUCCCUAGCUGGUCUUAGAGGAUGACCAGCCACACUGGAACUGAGACACGGUCCAGACUCCUACGGGAGGCAGCAGUGGGGAAUAUUGCACAAUGGAGGAAACUCUGAUGCAGCCAUGCCGCGUGUGUGAAGAAGGCUUUCGGGUUGUAAAGCACUUUCAGCGAGGAGGAAAGGGUAGUGGUUAAUAUCCAUUAUCUGUGACGUUACUCGCAGAAGAAGCACCGGCUAACUCCGUGCCAGCAGCCGCGGUAAUACGGAGGGUGCGAGCGUUAAUCGGAAUUACUGGGCGUAAAGCGCGCGUAGGCGGUUAAUUAAGUCAGAUGUGAAAGCCCAGGGCUCAACCUUGGAACUGCAUUUGAAACUGGUCAACUAGAGUUUUGUAGAGGGUGGUAGAAUUUCAGGUGUAGCGGUGAAAUGCGUAGAGAUCUGAAGGAAUACCAGUGGCGAAGGCGGCCACCUGGACAAAGACUGACGCUGAGGCGCGAAGACGUGGGUAGCAAACGGGAUUAGAUACCCCGGUAGUCCACGCCGUAAACGAUGUCUACUAGCCGUUGGGAGACUUGAUCUCUUAGUGGCGAAGCUAACGCGAUAAGUAGACCGCCUGGGGAGUACGGUCGCAAGAUUAAAACUCAAAUGAAUUGACGGGGGCCCGCACAAGCGGUGGAGCAUGUGGUUUAAUUCGAAGCAACGCGAAGAACCUUACCUACUCUUGACAUCCAGUGAACUUAGCAGAGAUGCUUUGGUGCCUUCGGGAACACUGAGACAGGUGCUGCAUGGCUGUCGUCAGCUCGUGUUGUGAGAUGUUGGGUUAAGUCCCGUAACGAGCGCAACCCCUAUCCCUAGUUGCUAGCAGUUCGGCUGAGAACUCUAGGGAGACUGCCGGUGACAAACCGGAGGAAGGUGGGGAUGACGUCAGGUCAUCAUGGCCCUUACGGCCAGGGCUACACACGUGCUACAAUGGUGCGUACAGAGGGCUGCAAACCCGCGAGGGGGAGCUAAUCUCACAAAACGCAUCGUAGUCCGGAUCGGAGUCUGCAACUCGACCCCGUGAAGUUGGAUUCGCUAGUAAUCGCGUAUCAGCAAUGACGCGGUGAAUACGUUCCCGGGCCUUGUACACACCGCCCGUCACACCAUGGGAGUGGGUUGCAAAAGAAGUGGCUAGUUUAACCCUUCGGGGAGGACGGU
This 1435-nucleotide ribosomal RNA is filed under the name uncultured bacterium. RNAcentral's name for it is "16S ribosomal RNA". It matches the Rfam family "Bacterial small subunit ribosomal RNA". The record is from RNAcentral.